This 220-nucleotide long non-coding RNA is filed under the name Lathyrus oleraceus (garden pea). RNAcentral's name for it is "Pisum sativum (pea) long non-coding RNA (PSAT_LNC042373)". The record is from RNAcentral. Lineage: Eukaryota; Viridiplantae; Streptophyta; Magnoliopsida; Fabales; Fabaceae.
UCUGAUGCAGGGAGACAUGAACGAUGAAGUGUUGCGGAGCUAAUGUCAUGCUUGGGUGUUGCUAAAAACAAGAGUUCGUGAAUUGCAGAAAUCGAAUCCAUGGUUGAAGAUGAUGUGAAUCAGCGUACGCUUUGGUGCCAAGAUUCAAAUGUCAGUCAAUCAUAUUGCGCCAACACAUAUUUUUGAAUUCCCUAGUGGUUGGCGCCUUAUUUAAUUUUAA